RNAcentral lists this ribosomal RNA (432 nucleotides) under uncultured bacterium. Its description in RNAcentral is "partial 16S ribosomal RNA". It matches the Rfam family "Bacterial small subunit ribosomal RNA", at positions 29 to 506 of the family's 1533-position model. The record is from RNAcentral.
AACGAACGCUGGCGGCAUGCCUAACACAUGCAAGUCGAACGAGACCUUCGGGUCUAGUGGCGCACGGGUGCGUAACGCGUGGGAACCUGCCCUUAGGUUCGGAAUAACUCCCCGAAAGGGGUGCUAAUACCGGAUAAUGUCUUCGGACCAAAGAUUUAUCGCCUUUGGAUGGGCCCGCGUUGGAUUAGCUAGUUGGUAGGGUAAAAGCCUACCAAGGCGACGAUCCAUAGCUGGUCUGAGAGGAUGAUCAGCCACACUGGGACUGAGACACGGCCCAGACCCCUACGGGAGGCAGCAGUGGGGAAUAUGGGACAAGGGGGGAAAGCCUGAUCCAGCAAUGCCGGGUGAGGGAUGAAGGCCUUAGGGUUGUAAAGCUCUUUUACCCGGGAUGAUAAUGACAGUACCGGGAGAAUAAGCCCCGGCUAACCCCGU